RNAcentral lists this ribosomal RNA (1343 nucleotides) under uncultured bacterium. Its description in RNAcentral is "16S ribosomal RNA". It matches the Rfam family "Bacterial small subunit ribosomal RNA", at positions 28 to 1378 of the family's 1533-position model. The record is from RNAcentral.
GACGAACGUUGGCGGCGUGCUUAACACAUGCAAGUCGAACGGAAAGGCCCUGCUUUUGUGGGGUGCUCGAGUGGCGAACGGGUGAGUAACACGUGAGUAACCUGCCCUUGACUUUGGGAUAACUUCAGGAAACUGGGGCUAAUACCGGAUAGGAGCUCCUGCUGCAUGGUGGGGGUUGGAAAGUUUCGGCGGUUGGGGAUGGACUCGCGGCUUAUCAGCUUGUUGGUGGGGUAGUGGCUUACCAAGGCUUUGACGGGUAGCCGGCCUGAGAGGGUGACCGGCCACAUUGGGACUGAGAUACGGCCCAGACUCCUACGGGAGGCAGCAGUGGGGAAUAUUGCACAAUGGGCGGAAGCCUGAUGCAGCAACGCCGCGUGCGGGAUGCCGGCCUUCGGGUUGUAAACCGCUUUCGCCUGUGACGAAGCGUGAGUGACGGUAAUGGGUAAAGAAGCACCGGCUAACUACGUGCCAGCAGCCGCGGUGAUACGUAGGGUGCGAGCGUUGUCCGGAUUUAUUGGGCGUAAAGGGCUCGUAGGUGGUUGAUCGCGUCGGAAGUGUAAUCUUGGGGCUUAACCCUGAGCGUGCUUUCGAUACGGGUUGACUUGAGGAAGGUAGGGGAGAAUGGAAUUCCUGGUGGAGCGGUGGAAUGCGCAGAUAUCAGGAGGAACACCAGUGGCGAAGGCGGUUCUCUGGGUCUUUCCUGACGCUGAGGAGCGAAAGCGUGGGGAGCGAACAGGCUUAGAUACCCUGGUAGUCCACGCUGUAAACGGUGGGUACUAGGUGUGGGGUCCAUUCCACGGGUUCCGUGCCGUAGCUAACGCUUUAAGUACCCCGCCUGGGGAGUACGGCCGCAAGGCUAAAACUCAAAGGAAUUGACGGGGCCCCGCACAAGCGGCGGAGCAUGCGGAUUAAUUCGAUGCAACGCGUAGAACCUUACCUGGGUUUGACAUGGAUCGGGAGUGCUCAGAGAUGGGUGUGCCUCUUUUGGGGUCGGUUCACAGGUGGUGCAUGGCUGUCGUCAGCUCGUGCCGUGAGAUGUUGGGUUAAGUCCCGCAACGAGCGCAACCCUUGUUCACUGUUGCCAGCACGUUAUGGUGGGGACUCAGUGGAGACCGCCGGGGUCAACUCGGAGGAAGGUGGGGAUGACGUCAAGUCAUCAUGCCCCUUAUGUCCAGGGCUUCACGCAUGCUACAAUGGCUGGUACAGAGAGUGGCGAGCCUGUGAGGGUGAGCGAAUCUCGGAAAGCCGGUCUCAGUUCGGAUUGGGGUCUGCAACUCGACCUCAUGAAGUCGGAGUCGCUAGUAAUCGCAGAUCAGCAACGCUGCGGUGAAUACGUUCCCGGG